This 482-nucleotide ribosomal RNA is filed under the name uncultured bacterium. RNAcentral's name for it is "partial 16S ribosomal RNA". It matches the Rfam family "Bacterial small subunit ribosomal RNA", at positions 30 to 507 of the family's 1533-position model. The record is from RNAcentral.
AUUGAACGCUGGCGGCAUGCCUUACACAUGCAAAUCGAACGGUAACGGGCCUUCGGGUGCCGACGAGUGGCGAACGGGUGAGUAAUACAUCGGAACGUGCCCGAUCGUGGGGGAUAACGAGGCGAAAGCUUUGCUAAUACCGCAUACGAUCUACGGAUGAAAGCAGGGGACCGCAAGGCCUUGCGCGGACGGAGCGGCCGAUGGCAGAUUAGGUAGUUGGUGGGAUAAAAGCUUACCAAGCCGACGAUCUGUAGCUGGUCUGAGAGGAUGAUCAGCCACACUGGGACUGAGACACGGCCCAGACUCCUACGGGAGGCAGCAGUGGGGAAUUUUGGACAAUGGGCGCAAGCCUGAUCCAGCCAUGCCGCGUGCAGGAUGAAGGCCUUCGGGUUGUAAACUGAUUUUGUACGGAACGAAAAGCCUUCUUUUAAUACAGGAGGGUCAUGACGGUACCGUAAUAAUAAGCACCGGCUAACUACGUG